Molecule: long non-coding RNA, 456 nt
Organism: Molossus molossus (Pallas's mastiff bat)
Lineage: Eukaryota; Metazoa; Chordata; Mammalia; Chiroptera; Molossidae
Exons: 3
Source: RefSeq, a predicted model, not a curated record
GGAGUGAACAGCUCUCUCUGGCUUUUGUGAGGCAGGUGUUGCAGAGCCUGCCGGGGGUCCCCAUGACCACGCCAGGACCCCAAGCGGACAGGGAAGCGUGUGAGUGGCUACCCACCCGCCGGCUAAAGUGGAGAUAAUGAGCAACUCUCGGCCCAUGGAUGAUAUGCCGUUCCGUGCCUUCUCCCAAAUGAGCACGAACUGUACCAUUACUGUGGGAACCCAGCAAGCCAAGCCCCCUACAUGGGGUCAACUGAAGAAAUUGACCCAGGAAGCUGAAAUGCGCUUUGCCGUCUGAACCAGCCGCAGACACCAACUAAUCUAUUGCUGGCAAUGAUGGCCGUUAUCACAUGCCAGUCUUCCGCCGAUGGUCCCAGCAGCGAGUCGUAGAUAACAACAAUCAAAAUAUGUUGUCGACCUUACAACAUGUAACAUCUCAAAUAAAAUUUAAAAAGGGGA